This 446-nucleotide ribosomal RNA is filed under the name uncultured bacterium. RNAcentral's name for it is "partial 16S ribosomal RNA". It matches the Rfam family "Bacterial small subunit ribosomal RNA", at positions 338 to 795 of the family's 1533-position model. The record is from RNAcentral.
CCUACGGGAGGCAGCAGUCGAGAAUUAUGCACAAUGGGGGAAACCCUGAUGGGGCGACGCCGCGUGGGGGAAUGAAGGUCUACGGAUUGUAAACCCCUGUCAUGUGGGAGCAAAUUAAAAAGAUAGUACCACAAGAGGAAGAGACGGCUAACUCUGUGCCAGCAGCCGCGGUAAUACAGAGGUCUCAAGCGUUGUUCGGAAUCACUGGGCGUAAAGCGUGCGUAGGCUGUUUCGUAAGGCGUGUGUGAAAGGCGCGGGCUCAACCCGCGGGCGGCACAUGAUACUGCGAGACUAGAGUAAGGGAGAGGGAACCGGAAUUCUCGGUGUAGCAGUGAAAUGCGUAGAUAUCGAGAGGAACACUCGUGGCGAAGGCGGGUUCCUGGACCUUAACUGACGCUGAGGCACGAAGGCCAGGGGAGCGAAAGGGAUUAGAUACCCUUGUAGUC